RNAcentral lists this ribosomal RNA (253 nucleotides) under uncultured bacterium. Its description in RNAcentral is "partial 16S ribosomal RNA". It matches the Rfam family "Bacterial small subunit ribosomal RNA", at positions 524 to 776 of the family's 1533-position model. The record is from RNAcentral.
UACGUAGGGUGCAAGCGUUGUCCGGAAUUAUUGGGCGUAAAGAGCUGGUAGGCGGUCUGUCGCGUCUGCUGUGAAAACUCAGGGCUUAACCCUGAGCUUGCAGUGGGUACGGGCAGACUAGAGUGCGGUAGGGGAGACUGGAAUUCCUGGUGUAGCGGUGAAAUGCGCAGAUAUCAGGAGGAACACCGGUGGCGAAGGCGGGUCUCUGGGCCGUAACUGACGCUGAGGAGCGAAAGCAUGGGGAGCGAACAGG